AUACUUACCUGGCAGGGGAGAUACCAUGAUCAAGAAGGUGGUUCACCCAGGGCGAGGCUCAGCCAUUGCACUCCGGUUGCGCUGACCCCUGCGAAUUCCCCAAAUGUGGAGUCUCGACUGCAUAUUUCUGGUAGUGGGGGACUGCGUUCGCGCUCCCCUG
RNAcentral lists this small nuclear RNA (160 nucleotides) under Lates calcarifer (barramundi perch). RNAcentral describes it as "U1 spliceosomal RNA (ENSLCAG00010013550.1)". It matches the Rfam family "U1 spliceosomal RNA". From Rfam's summary of the family: U1 is a small nuclear RNA (snRNA) component of the spliceosome (involved in pre-mRNA splicing). Its 5' end forms complementary base pairs with the 5' splice junction, thus defining the 5' donor site of an intron. There are significant differences in sequence and secondary structure between metazoan and yeast U1 snRNAs, the latter being much longer (568 nucleotides as compared to 164 nucleotides in human). Lineage: Eukaryota; Metazoa; Chordata; Actinopteri; Centropomidae. The record is from Rfam by way of RNAcentral.